AUUACCUUAGUAACGGCGAGUGAAGCGGUAAAAGCUCAAAUUUGAAAUCUGGUACUUUCAGUGCCCGAGUUGUAAUUUGUAGAAUUUGUCUUUGAUUAGGUCCUUGUCUAUGUUCCUUGGAACAGGACGUCAUAGAGGGUGAGAAUCCCGUUUGGCGAGGAUACCUUUUCUCUGUAAGACUUUUUCGAAGAGUCGAGUUGUUUGGGAAUGCAGCUCAAAGUGGGUGGUAAAUUCCAUCUAAAGCUAAAUAUUGGCGAGAGACCGAUAGCGAACAAGUACAGUGAUGGAAAGAUGAAAAGAACUUUGAAAAGAGAGUGAAAAAGUACGUGAAAUUGUUGAAAGGGAAGGGCAUUUGAUCAGACAUGGUGUUUUUUGCAUGCACUCGCCUCUCGUGGGCUUGGGCCUCUCAAAAAUUUCACUGGGCCAACAUCAAUUCUGGCAGCAGGAUAAAUCAUUAAGAAUGUAGCUACUUCGGUAGUGUUAUAGCUUUUUGGAAUACUGUUAGCUGGGAUUGAGGACUGCGCUUCGGCAAGGAUGUUGGCAUAAUGGUUAAAUGCCGCCCGUCUUGAAACAC
RNAcentral lists this ribosomal RNA (574 nucleotides) under Hanseniaspora uvarum. Its description in RNAcentral is "partial large subunit ribosomal RNA". It matches the Rfam family "Eukaryotic large subunit ribosomal RNA", at positions 74 to 662 of the family's 3401-position model. Lineage: Eukaryota; Fungi; Ascomycota; Saccharomycetes; Saccharomycodales; Saccharomycodaceae. The record is from RNAcentral.